Non-coding RNA from Xyrichtys novacula (pearly razorfish), 1018 nucleotides. The record is from the annotation of a GenBank genome assembly. Lineage: Eukaryota; Metazoa; Chordata; Actinopteri; Labriformes; Labridae.
GAGAAAAGAAACAUAUUUUAUUAAAUAUAUAAAAGAUAAAACAGAAAGAGUGCCGAAAACACACUUGUUUACACUUUAAAACGGCAAUAACCUGAAACAGUGAUAAGUGCGCAACGUUUCAUAGUGAUGGAAGUCACGUCCACACACAUACCUGCCGACACUCCCGUUUUCCCCGGGACUCUCCCGUAUUUCACACCUAUCUCCCGCCCACCUCCUGUAUUGUCAUUUCUCCCGGGAAUCUCCCGUAGUUUGCAUGGUCCACGUGCAUUCAUGAAUCGAUCACUACAUUUGUCCAAAGUUGCCUAGUGUCCAGACAACCCAAGAUUGUCCCGUGUUUCUGCUGAGCCUCACAGACACUGUAUUGAUACUUUUACUUUACAAUUUGGGAUGAUUCAGGUCGGUUUAAACUGUAAACUAUACUUAAGCAUUAUUUGUUGCAAAAUGAACACUUUUAUGUCAGGGAAACAAACAUGAGGUAUAAUAUUUACGUUGAUAGUCUUGCGCCGUCUCGGAGUGAUGCGUUCAGGUAAGCCUUAGAUAAAAGAGUGUUGUAAUGCACGCACAGAUGUUCAGAGAGCAUGUAAAACAUAUGAGGACUUUAACACCAAAAUUAGUGGACUAAAUUAGUUCAAGACAUGUUGAUUGAUUGAUUGAUUGAUUGAUUGAUUGAUUGAUUGACUGAUUGAAGUUUAUUUCAAUUAUCCAAAUCAAAAAUAUAAAAAAAUAAAACAAGGAAAGUAAGGCAAAACAUUUAAACAUAAAACACAGAUAUAUUAAUUUUUUAUUACCAUUUGUUAUACAAAAGUGUGCAGCUUCACUUAUACUUGUUUGGAUAAGCAAUCUAAUCACAAAUACUCUCAUAAUUCGCUCAUAUCCUCCAUACAAGGUAACCUCAAAAGUGCCCGGCGCAUGCCGCAACAAUCUCCCGGAUUUUAUAACCCAAAUGUUGGCAGGUGUGGUUCACACACACACACACACACAUACAUGCCCAUAAACUCCCGAUAAAGUUUUGAACUCU